CCAGUUGUUCCGCCAGGGGCAUGGCUGGGUAGCCAAGUACGGAAAGGAGAAUCGCUGAAAGCAUCUAAGUGAGAAACCAUCCUCAAGAUUAGAUAUCCCAUCUGAAAAGAGUAAGACACCUUUGAGACGAAGAGGUUGAUAGGUCGGAGGUGUAAGUGCAGUAAUGCAUUAAGCUGACCGAUACUAAUAUGUCGAGGGCUUGAUCGA
This 207-nucleotide ribosomal RNA is filed under the name Clostridia bacterium. RNAcentral's name for it is "partial 23S ribosomal RNA". It matches the Rfam family "Bacterial large subunit ribosomal RNA", at positions 2717 to 2925 of the family's 2925-position model. The record is from RNAcentral. Lineage: Bacteria; Bacillati; Bacillota; Clostridia.